Molecule: ribosomal RNA, 491 nt
Filed under: uncultured bacterium
Lineage: Bacteria
Description: partial 16S ribosomal RNA
Rfam family: Bacterial small subunit ribosomal RNA
Source: RNAcentral
AGUGAACGCUGGCGGUAGGCCUAACACAUGCAAGUCGAACGGCAGCACAGUAAGAGCUUGCUCUUACGGGUGGCGAGUGGCGGACGGGUGAGGAAUACAUCGGAAUCUACUUUUUCGUGGGGGAUAACGUAGGGAAACUUACGCUAAUACCGCAUACGACCUACGGGUGAAAGCAGGGGAUCUUCGGACCUUGCGCGAUUGAAUGAGCCGAUGUCGGAUUAGCUAGUUGGCGGGGUAAAGGCCCACCAAGGCGACGAUCCGUAGCUGGGCUGAGAGGAUGAUCAGCCACACAGAAGCUGAGACACGGUCCCGACUCCUACGGGAGGCAGCAGUGGGGAAGAUUGGACAAUGGGCGCAAGCCUGAUCCAGCCAUACCGCGUGGGUGAAGAAGGCCUUCGGGUUGGAAAGCCCUUUUGUUGGGAAAGAAAAGCAGCAGGUUAAUACCCCGCUGUUCGGACGGUACCCAAAGAAUAAGCACCGGCUAACUUCGU